CCUACGGGAGGCAGCAGUGGGGAAUAUUGGGCAAUGGAGGAAACUCUGACCCAGCGACGCCGCGUGCGGGAUGAAGGCCUUCGGGUUGUAAACCGCUUUCAGUAGGGAAGAAGGCGAAAGUGACGGUACCUACAGAAGAAGCACCGGCUAACUAUGUGCCAGCAGCCGCGGUAAUACAUAGGGUGCAAGCGUUGUCCGGAAUUAUUGGGCGUAAAGAGCUCGUAGGUGGUUCGUUCACGUCGGAUGUGAAAAUCUGGGGCUCAACCCNCAC
RNAcentral lists this ribosomal RNA (271 nucleotides) under uncultured bacterium. RNAcentral describes it as "partial 16S ribosomal RNA". It matches the Rfam family "Bacterial small subunit ribosomal RNA", at positions 338 to 619 of the family's 1533-position model. The record is from RNAcentral.